Molecule: ribosomal RNA, 459 nt
Filed under: uncultured bacterium
Lineage: Bacteria
Description: partial 16S ribosomal RNA
Rfam family: Bacterial small subunit ribosomal RNA
Source: RNAcentral
CCUACGGGUGACAGCAGUGAGGAAUAUUGGUCAAUGGGCGCGAGCCUGAACCAGCCAAGUCGCGUGAGGGAAGACGGUCCUAUGGAUUGUAAACCUCUUUUGUCGGGGAGCAAAAGACGCCACGCGUGGCGUUCCGAGAGUACCCGAAGAAAAAGCAUCGGCUAACUCCGUACCAGCAGCCGCGGUAAUACGGAGGAUGCGAGCGUUAUCCGGAUUUAUUGGGUUGAAAGGGUGCGCAGGCGGAAGAUCAAGUCAGCGGUAAAAGUGAGAGGCUCAACCUGUUCGAGCCGUUGAAACUGGGUGUCUGGAGUGAGCGAGAGGUAUGCGGAAUGCGUGGUGUAGCGGUGAAAUGCAUAGAUAUCACGCAGAACUCCGAUUGCGAAGGCAGCAUACCGGCGCUCAACUGACGCUCAUGCACGAAAGUGUGGGUAUCGAACAGGAUUAGAUACCCGAGUAGUC